AUUCCCCUAGUAACGGCGAGUGAAGCGGGAAGAGCUCACCAUGUGAAUCUCUAUAACCAGCAAUGGUAUAGCGAAUUGUGGUCUGGAGAAGUAUUGUCGGCCGUGAAUCCGGGCCAAGUCUCUUGGAAAAGGGCAGCUGAGAGGGUGAAACUCCCGUUCUUGCCUGGAAUCAUUGCGCUCUGGCACAUGCUUUCUACGAGUCGAGUUGUUUGGGAUUACAGCUCAAAGUAUGUCGUAACUUCGAUAUAAAGCUAAAUAUUGGUGGGACACCGAUAGUGUACAAGUACCGUGAGGGAAAGAUGCAAAGAACUUUGAAAAGAGAGUUAAAGAGUACCUGAAAUUGUUAAAAGGGAAGCGAAGGAAACCAGUGUUUGGCGAAUCCAUUCUUCCCAAGCUACUUGUAGUUUGGGCGCUGUGGUUAGCAAUAGUCAGCAUUGGCUUAAUCUGGGUCAAACGUUUGGUGGGUAGGCGGCUCUUCGGAGUUAGUGCCCAUCUUUCAUGUUCUGGAUUGGGCUGAGGUCAGUCACUCUGUGCUCGUGAUGCUGGCAAAAUGG
This 554-nucleotide ribosomal RNA is filed under the name Mediolabrus comicus. RNAcentral's name for it is "partial large subunit ribosomal RNA". It matches the Rfam family "Eukaryotic large subunit ribosomal RNA", at positions 74 to 637 of the family's 3401-position model. Lineage: Eukaryota; Bacillariophyta; Thalassiosirophyceae; Thalassiosirales; Thalassiosiraceae. The record is from RNAcentral.